This 497-nucleotide ribosomal RNA is filed under the name uncultured bacterium. RNAcentral describes it as "partial 16S ribosomal RNA". It matches the Rfam family "Bacterial small subunit ribosomal RNA", at positions 899 to 1397 of the family's 1533-position model. The record is from RNAcentral.
ACUCAAAUGAAUUGACGGGGACCUGCACAACCAGUGGAGCAUGUGGUUUAAUUCGAGACGAAACGAAGGACCUUACCCAGAUUUGACAUGCUACCGUGUUAGUUUUUUAGAAAUAAGAAGCGAUCUUUUAGAAAUAAAAGAAGGUAGCACAGGUGUUGCAUGGCUGUCGUCAGCUCGUGCCGUGGGGUGUUCCCUUCAGUGGGGUAACGAGCGCAACCCCUGCCCUGAGUUAAAUAUUCUCAGGGGACUAUUCUGUUUUACAGAGAGGAAGCGGGGACGACGUCAAGUCAGCAUGGCCCUUAUAUCUGGGGCGACACACAUGCUACAAUGAAGCCGACAAUAGGUUGCCAACGAGUAAUCGGGAGCUAAUCCUAUCAAACGGCUUCUCAGUGGGGAUUGAGGGCUGCAACUCGCCCUCAUGAACGAGGAAUUGGUAGUAAUCGCGGGUCAGCGAUACCGCGGUGAAUACGUUCUCAGGUCUUGUACACACCGCCCGU